GUGACGAAGCGACGCCGCGUGCGGGAAGAAGGCCUUCGGGUUGUAAACCGCUGUCGGGAGUUAGGAAGUGCAAGGAUGUUAAUAGCGUUCUUGCUUGACUAAGGCUCCGGAGGAAGCCACGGCUAACUCUGUGCCAGCAGCCGCGGUAAUACAGAGGCGGCAAGCGUUGUUCGGAAUUAUUGGGCGUAAAGAGCACGUAGGCGGCUGUGUAAGUCGGUUGUGAAAGCCUUCCGCUUAACGGAAGAACGGCAUCCGAUACUGCAUAGCUUGAGUGCGGGAGGGGAGAGUGGAACUUCUGGUGGAGCGGUGAAAUGCGUAGAUAUCAGAAGGGACACCGGCGGCGAAGGCGACUCUCUGGUCCGUAACUGACGCUGAGUGUGCGAAAGCUAGGGGAGCAAACGGGAUUAGAUACCCCGGUAGUCCUAGCCGUAAACGAU
This 437-nucleotide ribosomal RNA is filed under the name uncultured Candidatus Brocadia sp. RNAcentral's name for it is "bacterial SSU rRNA". It matches the Rfam family "Bacterial small subunit ribosomal RNA", at positions 383 to 810 of the family's 1533-position model. The record is from RNAcentral. Lineage: Bacteria; Pseudomonadati; Planctomycetota; Candidatus Brocadiia; Candidatus Brocadiales; Candidatus Brocadiaceae.